UUCGCUGUGUGGAUACUAUAGUACACAGGGAACAAAAAGUGCUCUGCAUAAGUUGGAUAUCCAACUACAGUUAAUCGAACCAAACCUGCGUAUUGUUAUUUUCCUGUGAUGUAGAUCUUAAACACCCGCCAGUGAAACAUGUGAACGACUCUGAAGAAGUUUGCUGCUGCACGUGAAUUUGUUGCUGCGUAUUUUAAGAUGUAGUGCAUGUAAAUCAAAGCCAACUGU
This is a long non-coding RNA of Carassius auratus (goldfish), 228 nucleotides long. RefSeq lists it as uncharacterized. Lineage: Eukaryota; Metazoa; Chordata; Actinopteri; Cypriniformes; Cyprinidae. The transcript is spliced from 3 exons. The record is from RefSeq and is a predicted model, not a curated record.